GGGCGCGUACAUGGAUAUAGCUGUCUGGCUCACAUUGGUGAGCUGGGUGGCCAAGCGAAAGUGAUAAGUAUCCCACCUGGGGAGUACGUUCGCAAGAAUGAAACUCAAAGGAAUUGACGGGGGCCCGCACAAGCGGUGGAGCAUGUGGUUUAAUUCGAUGAUACGCGAGGAACCUUACCAGGGCUUAAAUGUAGUCUGACAGGAUUGGAAACAGUCUUUUCUUCGGACAGAUUAUAAGGUGCUGCAUGGUUGUCGUCAGCUCGUGCCGUGAGGUGUCAGGUUAAGUCCUAUAACGAGCGCAACCCCUGUUGUUAGUUGCCAGCGAGUCAAGUCGGGAACUCUAACAAGACUGCCGGUGCAAACCGUGAGGAAGGUGGGGAUGACGUCAAAUCAUCACGGCCCUUACGUCCUGGGCCACACACGUGCUACAAUGGCAGGUACAAUGGGCAGCCACUACGCAAGUAGGAGCGAAUCCCCCAAACCUGUCUCAGUUCGGAUCGGGGUCUGCAACUCGACCCCGUGAAGCUUGGAAUCGCUUGUAAUCGGAUUUCAGCCAUGAUCCGGUGAAAAACCUUUCCCGGGCCUUGUACACACCGCCCCGUCAAGCCCUUGGAAACCGGAAACCACCUGGAAUUCCCUCCCCCCCAAGGAACCGGCCCAAGGGGAAACCUGGGAACUGGGGGCUAAAGCUCUA
This 694-nucleotide ribosomal RNA is filed under the name uncultured Aequorivita sp. RNAcentral describes it as "bacterial SSU rRNA". It matches the Rfam family "Bacterial small subunit ribosomal RNA", at positions 798 to 1491 of the family's 1533-position model. Lineage: Bacteria; Pseudomonadati; Bacteroidota; Flavobacteriia; Flavobacteriales; Flavobacteriaceae. The record is from RNAcentral.